Molecule: ribosomal RNA, 253 nt
Filed under: uncultured bacterium
Lineage: Bacteria
Description: partial 16S ribosomal RNA
Rfam family: Bacterial small subunit ribosomal RNA
Source: RNAcentral
UACGAAGGGGGCUAGCGUUGCUCGGAAUGACUGGGCGUAAAGGGCGCGUAGGCGGCUUGCACAGUCAGGCGUGAAAUUCCUGGGCUCAACCUGGGGACUGCGCUUGAGACGUGUGGGCUUGAGUGGGGAAGAGGGUCGUGGAAUUCCCAGUGUAGAGGUGAAAUUCGUAGAUAUUAGGAAGAACACCGGUGGCGAAGGCGGCCCACUGGAUCGGUACUGACGCUGAGGUGCGAAAGCGUGGGGAGCAAACAGG